UUAAGUUAAAUUAUUUAUCCGUAGACUGGAUUUAACUCUACGAUCUGAAUGUGUAGAUUGUCUUAUUUUCGACACAAGGGUGACUUCUUCAAACGUGAAUGAAAAUAGUAGUAGGCUCCUUCCUGUAGUGUAGACACGUCGGUGCUGCGUGUGACGUAGGGGAGCACGUUCACUACGCUAAUUUGCAUAAUAUUAAUUAUAGUGGUGUCACAUUUCAUAGGGAACGAUCUUCACUAUCACUUCACUCUUUACUGUGGAGGGAAGUGUUCUCGUUAAGGGGAGAGGAAUGGGACAGGGCCUAGUACUCAUCUAACGAAGCAAGGAUCAACAAUAUAAAGUCACUGAUUAAAAUACUAACAGGUAACUGUUGGAAGAGCGAAGAGUAACUUCAAUACAAGCACUAGUAACUCAAAUGGGUUUGGCUUCUGGACGCAGUGUUCAAACAGAUACAGAAUAGAUGGGAAUGAGCGCUGGUGGUGGGGAACAGGACGCUCACUUGAAGAGGCCUCCCAUGAUCAUCAUCCCCUCCCCCCUCCCCCUCUUCCUCCUCCACCACCACCACCUCCACCGCCUCCUCCUCCUCCUUCACCUCCUUGUCCCCCUCCUCCUCUUCCCCUCCCCCUCCUCUAUGAUAUGUAAACGAGCGGUUAUGGUGGGAGCAGGACGCUCCCUUGAAGAGGCCUCCCAUGACCAUCAUCUCGCCCAGGCGGGGCUCCACGGUGGGCCACGGGGCGUCCCAGAGAGGGCAGCUCGUCGUUGCUGUCCACAGCGUCCACUUCUGGGGGACCAACCCCAAGGAAACAUCAACAAUCCCCACAGUAAGUAAGAGUGGAUGACGUACACCGCGUCGUUGAGGGUGAUGCUGGUCUCUGCCAUGUUGGUGGACAGGACGACCUGCAGGAGGCAGGGAACAACAACAGGAGAUGGACAGGCAAGGGUGGAUUCCAGGCAGCUGGGCAGGCAGAGGAGCACACGGGGUGGAUGGCAGGCAGCUACGGGGUUGGUGAUCCUGGGGCGAGGACAACGCGGAGAUUUAAAGGUCCCAUGACAUGCCACCAGGUGUGGUGUGAUUAGCCGUUACAAGCCGUUUUGGAAAUCGGCCCCUUAUGACAUCACAGGUGGGCGUGUCCACCUAGAUGUGUGCUGGGUAGAUCAGUCUACCAGCCUACCCAGUGGACUGUAGCAAACGUUGCUCAUCUCUGCGUCAAGUUAUUAAAGAUAUGUGCAACUGUUUAUGAUUUGUAUUUGUUAAUAAACCAUAAAGUUACAA
Molecule: long non-coding RNA, 1270 nt
Organism: Gadus macrocephalus (Pacific cod)
Lineage: Eukaryota; Metazoa; Chordata; Actinopteri; Gadiformes; Gadidae
Exons: 2
Source: RefSeq, a predicted model, not a curated record